AUACGUAGGGGGCGAGCGUUGUCCGGAAUGAUUGGGCGUAAAGGGCGCGUAGGCGGCCCGGUAAGUCUGGAGUGAAAGUCCUGUUUUUAAGAUGGGAAUUGCUUUGGAUACUGUCGGGCUUGAGUGCAGGAGAGGUAAGUGGAAUUCCCAGUGUAGCGGUGAAAUGCGUGGAGAUUGGGAGGAACACCAGUGGCGAAGGCGACUUACUGGACUGUAACUGACGCUGAGGCGCGAAAGUGUGGGGAGCAAACAGGAUUAGAUACCCUGGUAGUCCACACUGUAAACGAUGAAUGCUAGGUGUAGGGGGUAUCGACCCCUUCUGUGCCGCAGUCAACACAAUAAGCAUUCCGCCUGGGGAGUACGGCCGCAAGGUUGAAACUCAAAUGAAUUGGCGGGG
This 397-nucleotide ribosomal RNA is filed under the name uncultured bacterium. Its description in RNAcentral is "partial 16S ribosomal RNA". It matches the Rfam family "Bacterial small subunit ribosomal RNA", at positions 523 to 918 of the family's 1533-position model. The record is from RNAcentral.